This is a long non-coding RNA of Bufo gargarizans (Asiatic toad), 637 nucleotides long. RefSeq lists it as uncharacterized. The transcript has 4 exons. The record is from RefSeq and is a predicted model, not a curated record. NCBI's taxonomy places the organism in Eukaryota, Metazoa, Chordata, Amphibia, Anura, Bufonidae.
CUGGGAGAAACCCACAGUCAUCCACUUUACAAGAGAGGGCGAUCCAGGGUAAACAAACUGAUCAAAAUGGUGAAAGUGGCGUUACUUGUGCAGAGACUGAAAAUGUAAUUCUGGAAAAACAGUGUGACAUGAUAAAUCAAAACAGAGAAGUGGCUAAAGAGAAGUGCAUCAACGAAACGUAAAAAUUAUAUUCUGAAGGAGGACGCCAAAGGAAUUAAUAUCUACGUUGUUUUAUUCCCAAAGUUGUCUGACCACACCAAUCACAUCACUUCUGGAGAGGUAGCAAAUUUGCGUGAGAAAAUUGAUCCUAGAGUUCGAAAUAAAAUUCUAGAAUUUUACCGCACUGGUAUCCGGAAAAAAAGUGAGCUGAAAAGAUUGGUGGAACACUUUGUUAAGAAAGAUUUAUUUCUGAAUGUUGAGGUUCCAGAACACACUAGACGGAGAUAUUAUCCCACUUUUUUUCUCUUUGGUGUUGGGGGGCUGAAAAUAGACAACCAAAUUUUAUUAUUGGUCUCUCAGAACGUCAACAAUUUACAUUAAGGUGCAGUGUUCUCAGAUAUACAGACACCCUGCAGUUAUAUCUAUGCACACACAGGACAAAUGGUAUUUAUUGAAAUUUUUUUAAAUAAACCAUAUA